ACUACGGGAGGCUGCAGUGAGGAAUAUUGGUCAAUGGACGAGAGUCUGAACCAGCCACGUAGCGUGAAGGAUGACUGCCCUAUGGGUUGUAAACUUCUUUUAUAAAGGAAUAAAACGCGGCACGUGUGCCAUUUUGCAUGUACUUUAUGAAUACGGCUCGGCUAACUCCGUGCCAGCAGCCGCGGUAAUACGGAGGAUCCGAGAGUUAGCCGGAUUUAUUGGGUUUAAAGGGAGCGUAGAUGGGUUUUUAAGUCAGUUGUGACAGUUUGCGGCUCAACCGUAAAAUUGCAAUUGAUACUGUCAGUCUUGAGUACAGGUGAGGUAGGCGGAAUUCGUGGUGUAGCGGUGAAAUGCUUAGAUAUCACGAAGAACCCCGAUUGCGAAGGCAGCUUACUAAACUGUGACUGACAUUGAUGCUCGAAAGUGUGGGUAUCAAACAGGAUUAGAUACCCGGGUAGGC
This 460-nucleotide ribosomal RNA is filed under the name uncultured bacterium. Its description in RNAcentral is "partial 16S ribosomal RNA". It matches the Rfam family "Bacterial small subunit ribosomal RNA", at positions 338 to 795 of the family's 1533-position model. The record is from RNAcentral.